GGUCUCAUAGCUCAGCUGGUUAGAGCAUCUGACUCAUAAUCAGAGGGUCACAGGUUCGAGCCCUGUUGGGACCA
This 74-nucleotide transfer RNA is filed under the name Empedobacter falsenii. Its description in RNAcentral is "tRNA-Ile". It matches the Rfam family "tRNA". From Rfam's summary of the family: Transfer RNA (tRNA) molecules are approximately 80 nucleotides in length. Their secondary structure includes four short double-helical elements and three loops (D, anti-codon, and T loops). Lineage: Bacteria; Pseudomonadati; Bacteroidota; Flavobacteriia; Flavobacteriales; Weeksellaceae. The record is from RNAcentral.